UUAAUCGCUAACUUAUAUCACCAUGAAAGUUGAAGGCUCCAAGAGAUGAAAGUGGAUAACUAUACUUCUUGUUGGUUUGCUGUCACUUGUUGUGGGCGCAAUUUCGGUAGGGGGAUCAAACCUGCUUCUUUUUACGGGUGAGAUGCCAAAUCCGCCAACACAUAUUCUCGAGCCUGUUGCUUCUUUCAAGAGUGUUCCUCGUUGCUAUAACCUGCACAUCUCCGUUUUAUUUAUCGAAGGUAUAUCUGAUAUUAUGAUUUGAUACUUAAACGAGUUUUGAAGAGGAUAUAUGAAAUUAUCACGAAUACACAAUUUUAUAGUGAACUAGAUUGAGAGGGAUGAAUGAAACCUUGAUCCAGGUUCGGUGGAGGUCGGAUUCAUCAACACUAUUAACAACUUCUUCAACAAAGUAGUUGGUGGGACUGAAGUGUUUAUCGCGCUUGACGUUGUCUUGAAGCUUUUCCAGCUUCAUCUUUGUAUCAACUCCAUUUUGAGUCUUCAAAUUUGCUCCUAAGUCCAAGAUCGCCUCCAAGUACCCGUUUAUCCAUUCGUUCCUUGCCAUCUCAAAACCGCUACCGCUUCCUAGCGGCAGUGGUAGUGGUGGUGGUGGUGAUGGGAGGAGGAGAAGCUUUCUUGGUUUGAAACAGAUAUGUGGGAGGCCUUUGAUGCCUUAUAAAGGCCUUUUGGCAUACAAGACAAUAUUAUGCCUUCUUUUAGUUACUAAAAUUGUUUUGUGAAUACAUAAGAUUCUUUUCACUUUGCACACUUACCUUUUAGCACAGAAACUUAUUUAAAUUGAUUGUAGAAAUAUGUAAAUUAUUUUUAGAACAUAUUUUAGCAUAGGCCGGUUUUUGUGACAAACUCAAGUUAGUUGUGUGAACUGUCAUAUGGUAAUGAAAAUAAGUUAGUUAUGU
This 914-nucleotide long non-coding RNA is filed under the name Helianthus annuus (common sunflower). Its description in RNAcentral is "hypothetical non coding rna". The record is from RNAcentral. Lineage: Eukaryota; Viridiplantae; Streptophyta; Magnoliopsida; Asterales; Asteraceae.